This 310-nucleotide long non-coding RNA is filed under the name Androctonus crassicauda. The record is from RNAcentral. Lineage: Eukaryota; Metazoa; Arthropoda; Arachnida; Scorpiones; Buthidae.
GUGUUACAAGAGGUCAUUUAGUACUUCUCAUUGUGAUACACUGUAAAUUUAUUUGAACAGUAAAAAGUCUUACAGGCUAAAUAUAUCACUUUAGAAAAAAGUUUAAAAGAUGACUAUUUCUUUAAAAUUCGGUAUAAUCUUCUUAACAAUCGUUCCAGUAGUGUUAAAGGGUUCUGGAAAUAUUACAGGGACUAUUCACGGAAAUCUGAUGAAAUAUUGUCUUUUAGUUUUAAUGGUCAGGAUAUUCUACAUAAAGAAGUGGCCAAUGCAUUUAAUAAUUAUUUUAGUGAUAUUUGUCAGUCUAAUGGUG